UACGUAGGGGGCAAGCGUUAUCCGGAAUUACUGGGUGUAAAGGGAGCGUAGACGGUAAUGUAAGUCUGGAGUGAAAGGCGGGGGCCCAACCCCCGGACUGCUCUGGAAACUAUGUUACUAGAGUGCAGGAGAGGUAAGCGGAAUUCCUAGUGUGGCGGUGAAAUGCGUAGAUAUUAGGAGGAACACCAGUGGCGAAGGCGGCUUACUGGACUGUAACUGACGUUGAGGCUCGAAAGCGUGGGGAGCAAACAGG
RNAcentral lists this ribosomal RNA (253 nucleotides) under uncultured bacterium. RNAcentral's name for it is "partial 16S ribosomal RNA". It matches the Rfam family "Bacterial small subunit ribosomal RNA", at positions 524 to 776 of the family's 1533-position model. The record is from RNAcentral.